UGCUCAACUCUGCCUAUCCAAUCUGGGAGCACUCUCCAGUGACUUGAAGAAAGGAAAGUGCCACCUGACUGGAUGAGUUUGGUUGGGAU
This 89-nucleotide microRNA precursor is filed under the name Ornithorhynchus anatinus (platypus). Its description in RNAcentral is "mir-1420 microRNA precursor family". It matches the Rfam family "mir-1420 microRNA precursor family". Lineage: Eukaryota; Metazoa; Chordata; Mammalia; Monotremata; Ornithorhynchidae. The record is from Rfam by way of RNAcentral.